UGCAAGUUCGAGCGGCAGCGCGGGGCAACCUGGCGGCGAGCGGCGAACGGGUGAGUAAUGUAUCGGAACGUACCCAGUCGUGGGGGAUAACUAUCCGAAAGGAUAGCUAAUACCGCAUACGUCCUGAGGGAGAAAGCGGGGGACCUGCAAGGGCCUCGCGCGAUUGGAGCGGCCGAUAUCGGAUUAGCUAGUUGGUGAGGUAAAGGCUCACCAAGGCGACGAUCCGUAGCUGGUCUGAGAGGACGACCAGCCACACUGGAACUGAGACACGGUCCAGACUCCUACGGGAGGCAGCAGUGGGGAAUUUUGGACAAUGGGGGCAACCCUGAUCCAGCCAUUCCGCGUGAGUGAAGAAGGCCUUCGGGUUGUAAAGCUCUUUCAGCAGGAACGAAACGGUGGCCCCUAAUACGGGCUACUAAUGACGGUACCUGAAGAAGAAGCACCGGCUAACUACGUGCCAGCAGCCGCGGUAAUAC
RNAcentral lists this ribosomal RNA (476 nucleotides) under uncultured bacterium. RNAcentral describes it as "bacterial SSU rRNA". It matches the Rfam family "Bacterial small subunit ribosomal RNA", at positions 56 to 526 of the family's 1533-position model. The record is from RNAcentral.